GAUGAUGGUGUGAAACUUUUAUGCGACAAAAAAAACAAAACACCAUGAGUUAGAUAGGUUGUGCAAUAACAAGAAAUGAGGCAUCCUUUCUUCCCUUGCGUGGUGGUCUUCUUGGCAUUGAUUUUCUUGGGCAUCAAGGGGGCUUUCCUAGGCAUCCCUUUAAGAGGAAGUUAGAUCUCUUUUUCUUUGUUGCUUUCAGAAGGUGUGAUGUCUAGAGACUUCAUUCUGCUUUCCUAUAGUACC
RNAcentral lists this long non-coding RNA (243 nucleotides) under Elaeis guineensis (African oil palm). Its description in RNAcentral is "long non-coding RNA (EGUI_LNC029816)". The record is from RNAcentral. Lineage: Eukaryota; Viridiplantae; Streptophyta; Magnoliopsida; Arecales; Arecaceae.